AGGUAUGUGUUGCAGUGGUAGCAAAGCUCAUAUUCAUCCUGGCCCUUUCGAAAUGAGUGACUUAGGUUCGAUUCCUGACAUACUCC
Molecule: non-coding RNA, 86 nt
Organism: Zopfia rhizophila CBS 207.26
Lineage: Eukaryota; Fungi; Ascomycota; Dothideomycetes; Zopfiaceae
Source: the annotation of a GenBank genome assembly